UGCCCGAUCGUCUAAGGGUAGGACAACAGUCUCUGGAUCUGUUAAUCGUGGUUCGAAUCCAUGUCGGGCAGCCA
This 74-nucleotide transfer RNA is filed under the name bacterium. RNAcentral's name for it is "tRNA-Gln". It matches the Rfam family "tRNA". Rfam says of the family: Transfer RNA (tRNA) molecules are approximately 80 nucleotides in length. Their secondary structure includes four short double-helical elements and three loops (D, anti-codon, and T loops). The record is from RNAcentral.